This 497-nucleotide ribosomal RNA is filed under the name uncultured bacterium. RNAcentral describes it as "partial 16S ribosomal RNA". It matches the Rfam family "Bacterial small subunit ribosomal RNA", at positions 28 to 507 of the family's 1533-position model. The record is from RNAcentral.
GACGAACGCUGGCGGCGUGCCUAAUACAUGCAAGUUGAGCGCUGAAGGUUGGUACUUGUACCAACUGGAUGAGCAGCGAACGGGUGAGUAACGCGUGGGGAAUCUGCCUUUGAGCGGGGGACAACAUUUGGAAACGAAUGCUAAUACCGCAUAAAAACUUUAAACACAAGUUUUAAGUUUGAAAGAUGCAAUUGCAUCACUCAAAGAUGAUCCCGCGUUGUAUUAGCUAGUUGGUGAGGUAAAGGCUCACCAAGGCGAUGAUACAUAGCCGACCUGAGAGGCUGAACCGCCACAUUGGGACUGAGACACGGCCCAAGCUCCUACGGGAGGCAGCAGUAGGGAAUCUUCGGCAAUGGACGAAAGUCUGACCGAGCAACGCCGCGUGAGUGAAGAAGGUUUUCGGAUCGUAAAACUCUGUUGGUAGAGAAGAACGUUGGUGAGAGUGGAAAGCUCAUCAAGUGACGGUAACUACCCAGAAAGGGACGGCUAACUACGUG